RNAcentral lists this non-coding RNA (26 nucleotides) under Cricetulus griseus (Chinese hamster). The record is from RNAcentral. Lineage: Eukaryota; Metazoa; Chordata; Mammalia; Rodentia; Cricetidae.
AUAGAAGACUGGGUGACAGCAUAUCU